Small nuclear RNA from Rattus norvegicus (Norway rat), 106 nucleotides. The record is from Ensembl. NCBI's taxonomy places the organism in Eukaryota, Metazoa, Chordata, Mammalia, Rodentia, Muridae.
GUGCUCACUCGGCUGCACAUGCACCAAAAUUGGAAUGAUACAGAGAAGAUUAGCAUGGCUCCUGGGCAAAGAUGAUGUGCAAAUUCGUGAACUAGUCCGUAUUUUG